UUGAAGCUGUUUUGUUUAGUUUAGAGAUACAGCAUUGGCCAACCGAGUGUAUGUCGCCCAUUGACCACCCAUUCACGCUAGUCUAUGUUACAUCGGGCAAUGUGCAGAGGCCUUUUAACCUAUAAACCUGCACAUCUUUGGGAUGUUGGAGGAAACCAGAGCAGCCAAGAAGACCCAUGUGGUCACAGGGAGAGUGUACAAACUCCAUACAGAUGACACCUGUGAUUCGGAUCAAACCUGGGUCUCUGGCACUGAGAGGGAGCAACUCUACCACCUAAGCCACUGUGCUACCCUUAUUGUGUUUGUUUUGUUUAUUUGCUGUCCUCGUUUUGUUUGUUGUUGGAAGUUGCAUUUUAUCUCUUUUCUAUGCACUCUUGCCGAUCUGUAGUGAUGCUUGAAAGGGGAUUUUAGAUUCUAGGGACUUUGGUAUCAGUUCUGGGAAAUGGGAGGCCGAUACAAGCUCUUAAAGUUGCACUUCAAUGGUGUUGGACCAAAAUUCUUUUGGGGAGGUUAAUUAAUUUUGUGGAGAAUUAUUCAAACUUUGGGAAAGAGAGCAGGAUAAGACCACCGCAGCAACAAGCUGAUACUGAAAGCACGGAGAAAAAAACAUGGAAAUAAAUUGAGAAAAUGAGCAAAGUAGGCCAGCAUGAUGUUGGAAUGCAUGUGUGUUAAAUAAGGAGUGUUACAAAUUAAGUUUGACAAGUCACAGUUGUAAAAUGCCACAAACAAUUAUACUGUCGUGGCUUUAAUGGGAGUGUGGCUUAAACAUCUGCAGGGGAUGACAGUUAACCAUUCCUGGGCACAAAGUGUUCAUGAGGAAGAGUUGGGGGAUAAAGGGUGAGUUUUGGUGCAAGUUGGGGAGAAAAUGUAUGGGUUGUAGUAUUGAUCAAUGGUUAAAUUCACAGAUCUAACAGAAAUUUCAAAACUGAAUCUAUUGAGAAAGUUAGAUGAAGAGAACCAGUUAUAUUGCUGGUUGUUUACCACAGGCAUGCAGAUAGUGAGAAGAAAACAGUAGAGCAAAUCAAUAGGGAGGUGUCAAUGACUAAAAAAAUAAUAUCCCAGCAGAUCUACAGUUAAUCUAACGCAUACUGAAGGUAAACAGAAUCCUUCAACAUGUAUAGGGAAAAUUAUUUAUUCCUUGUGUUUCUAGAGAUAAGAAGACGAAUGAGAUAAGAAACAUUCUCUCUAGUUCUGCAGAAUGGAGUAAGUGGAAUGGAUUUCAAUCAAAGAAUGUAGUAAUAGCAAUCAGAGACAAUAAUAUAACUGCAUGAAAAUACCCAGCUGAAAGCUAGCUAAUUACGGUGAUUUGAGGGCUUAGGACUGAUAGUUUGUAAAAUAGAACUCAAAAUGCUGGAUUAACUCAGCGGUUCAUGCAGCAUUACUGGUGGUGACCCUUCGUAGACAACAAUAGCAUGGUUGCACAGUCUCAUGUCUUGUGGUAUCGAGUGUGGCUCAAGAGUCCAUAGACUGAUAGACUUGCAGAAAAACCUGUGCAUGAGAGGGAUUGUAUUAUGUUUACAUAUUUUGUUGUGCUGCAGCAAGUAAGAAUUGAAUUGUCCUAUCUGGGACACAUCACAAUAAAACUCUCUUGACUCUUCAGGUUGAGAGGCUGCUGCACACGAACAACCCCAAUGGAUUCCAGUGGCACGGUUAAACGUUACGGCUGGAAACUCCCUUGGCUGCAUUGGACGCCCAUGUCUUCUUUCAUGCUUUAAAAUGUCCUUUUCACUCCCAGUGGGCUGCUGUGUCGCCUUCCUAACCGUUGAAUCCUCCAGUGGGUUUCCUCCGCCCAAUAUUCCAGCACAGACUUUGCAUGUUAGGCUGAGCCAGCCCCGAAACUCGCAGAGGGUUUGAGACCUGUCGGCUACCCUCACCAGGUUUAGCACGUCAGCCAAAGCGGUUUUCCAGGGUGUGGCAGCUGCCUCAUGCUAACAGCUUCUUGGAGCUACAGAUAACUGUGGGGAAGAGUUCAAGAAGGAACUGCAGAUGCUGGAAGAUCGAAGGUACACAAAAUUGCUGGAGAAACUCAGCGGGUGCAGCAGCAUCUAUGGAGCGAAGAAAAUAGGCGACGUUUCGGGCCGAAACCCUUCUUCAGACUGUGGGGAAGAGGCUGUUCUUGAAUUUGAUGUGAUUUGAAUUGACUGGACUUUGGCAUCUGGUUUGAUGAGAACAUUGGGAAGAGGUUGCGUGGGCAUCUGCCUAUCUUAUUGGAACGCACCUGCAGUUAGGCCAUUCUCACGGGGCGACUUGAUGCAAGAGUUAACCAGAGUUGAACAUCGUGGGAACCUCGUGCGAUAACCGUACGGCAUUCGUGGACCACCGUGGACCACCGUGGCGCUAACGGCAGAUACUCGUGUAACUUGGUGACUCGGGAGAAAAUUCAAGCAAGCUUGAAUUUCUCCAAGAGUGACUUGUACACUUGUGGUUGAACAUUGCAACAUUAUAUGGACGUAGUGGCCAGUGCGAUAUCCGUAAUAACUCUUGCGUUUACCAUGGGAACUCCUGCGAACGGUGAACCCGGAAGCUGGACAGAGGGGACAGAAGGUUAUGAUGAAUCCUGGAGCUGAGUAACCCUGGCAAGACAUCAGAGUAGAUUACAGAUGGCUGUGGGGAAGAAGAUGUUCCUGAACCUGGACGUUACAGUCUUCAGGCUCCUGUACCUUUUUCUUGAUGGCAGUGGUGAGAUAAGCGUGUGGCCAGGAUGGUGUGGGUCCUUGAUGAUUUUGGCUGCCUUUUUGAAGCAGCGACUAUGAUAGAUCCCUUCGACGGUGGGGAGGUUAAAGUCGGUGAUGGUCUGGGCAGUGGUCACAACUUUUUGCAGUUUUUUGUGCUCCUGGACGUUCAAGUAGCCGAACCAGUCCACGAUGCAACCAGUCAGAAUGCUCUCUACCGUGCACCUGUAGAAGUUUAGGAGAAUCCUCUUCGACAUGCCGAAUCUCCGUAAUCUUCUCAGGAAGCAAAAUUAUAUCAACAAGUGAAUCACUUCAUUGUCCAUCAUUUGCCAAAGGACGUAAUAUAAAGUAAGUGUCUAUUCCUACAAGGAAAUUGUGUGGAAAGAAUGGGGAGGUGGUGGUGGAGGAUGAAUGAUGGCGACGGGAGAAAAUAAGAACAAUGCUAAACUGUUUCUGAAGCGUUGUGCACAAGAUAAUAUUUGACUUUGCUAUUUUUAACUUAAAGAUAAAUAUACCAUUGGACAUAUACAUCAGAGUACUUUAAUUCAGUUUGGCAGAGUUUAUGUUAAAUUUUCCAACUGUGUAUGACUCAAGAGUGCCCUCGGCAGGAAAGCACCAGUUUCCAUUACAGCCUUUGCUUAUGUGCCAUGUUAAAUAAAGUCAAAAUUUCUCUCUAUUAAACAUCCUGUUUCAUAGGAAACAACUCCCACCAUUACUGUUUGGGUUAUUUUUGUUUACUCCAUCUUAUGGAUGAAAACAUGUUUUUUCCCAAACAAGAUGAUGCAGACAUCUUAUAAGAGAAUAAGUAAUUUGUCAGGUUUCUAGUUCAUAUCUGGUACUGAAUGAGCAGAAAUUUCAGGAGAACUGUAGCCACUUUCUCCAGUCACCUUUCACAGCCAGUUCUGGUAGAACUGUAGAGUUCCAAUCUGAUUGGAAGAUUACUUAGCCCUUUACCUACAGCUUGCUCUAGUUACCAUUUCACACAUGUUGUACUAUUCUGCAGCUUCACUCAGCCGCCACCUCUGGUAUUCCAAGUGCUGCUUCUCGCAUGCACUCCACGCUCAUCAUUAAAAGAGGAUUGGUUUCCUGGCUUGUUAGUAAUGGUAAUGUGAGGGAUAGGUUGGGCCAUGGAUUUCUUGUAUGUUUGCACUUUAACGUAAUAUUUAUAUUUAGGGCGGCAUGGUGGUGCAGC
Molecule: long non-coding RNA, 3864 nt
Organism: Leucoraja erinaceus (little skate)
Lineage: Eukaryota; Metazoa; Chordata; Chondrichthyes; Rajiformes; Rajidae
Exons: 6
Source: RefSeq, a predicted model, not a curated record